Non-coding RNA from Pelobates cultripes (western spadefoot toad), 1023 nucleotides. The record is from the annotation of a GenBank genome assembly. NCBI's taxonomy places the organism in Eukaryota, Metazoa, Chordata, Amphibia, Anura, Pelobatidae.
UGGUGACCGUUUAUGAUGUAGGAGCAUCUGCAAGGCUUAGAAUUCGAGGUCAGGAUUAGAGAGCUCGCAGUUUUUUGGGUGAACUAAUCUCCCUAAAAGGAGCGAUAAUUGGGCAAGGCUACCAGAUAUGCAGUCCAGACCCAUCUUUCCCCCACAUCUCAAACACUCUCCUGGAAUAUCGCUAUUGAUAUGGUGGAGCACAUCUGGUGUUCUGUACCACUUUGUCAGAUUUUAUAGCAUGUCUCCUGUACUUUUGAGCUGAUGGAAUGUUUGUGUGUUAGAGUAUAAAUCUUGUCCCACUCCUGGUCUAUAAGUGUCACUCCUGUCUCUUCCUCCAACCAUAUGAGAAAUUUAGGGGGGGCUCUAUCACCACAAGUGAGCUGCAUUUGGUAAAGAGGUGAUACACCUCGAGAGAGGUGUUUCUUAACCGAACAUAGGGUUUCGAACUGUGUAAGGUCUCUAUGUAUGAGACGUUUGCUCUUUAAAGUAGCAUAAUACGUUUUCUGCCAGAAGUAGCCAGUCUGAGAUUUGGAAGCCGUGUUAGUCAGUCAGCGUAAGGCCACCUGCGAGGUCUGCAUUAUGCAUGAUGGGUGUCAAUGGGUUGGGGUUUGUAGUUAGCUGAGAGGAGAACCAUAUGGAACAUCAUACCCGUAUGGUGCCAUCGGUUAAGUUGUUGCCAGCCUUCAUCUUGUAAUACUGCAGGCCCCAAACCAAAGCUGAAAUGGGAGUUGGCCAUCCGUCAGCCCAAACUCUAGGUCAACCAAAGUUUCUGAGAUGAGCGGACAUAUAAAAAAGUGCCAAUUUCUAUUAAAAUCAGCACUUAUUUGUAAAUUGAAAAAAAGGAGGACACACUCUUCAUACAUAAAGCAAGCUAAAGUUCUUUAGGCGCCCCGAAUGUCCUUUUAAAGUUGGCAUUUAUUGUAUAAAUAAAGAUAAAGUUAUAUUUUGUAAACUAUGAUAAAGUCAGGCAUGUAAUUAAAACUAAAGGCUGACAUGUAAAGGCUGGUAUGUGAUGUUUGUUAG